AGAGUUUGAUCAUGGCUCAGAUUGAACGCUGGCGGCAGGCCUAACACAUGCAAGUCGAACGGUAACAGGAAACAGCUUGCUGUUUCGCUGACGAGUGGCGGACGGGUGAGUAAUGUCUGGGAAACUGCCUGAUGGAGGGGGAUAACUACUGGAAACGGUAGCUAAUACCGCAUAACGUCGCAAGACCAAAGAGGGGGACCUUCGGGCCUCUUGCCAUCGGAUGUGCCCAGAUGGGAUUAGCUAGUAGGUGGGGUAACGGCUCACCUAGGCGACGAUCCCUAGCUGGUCUGAGAGGAUGACCAGCCACACUGGAACUGAGACACGGUCCAGACUCCUACGGGAGGCAGCAGUGGGGAAUAUUGCACAAUGGGCGCAAGCCUGAUGCAGCCAUGCCGCGUGUAUGAAGAAGGCCUUCGGGUUGUAAAGUACUUUCAGCGGGGAGGAAGGGAGUAAAGUUAAUACCUUUGCUCAUUGACGUUACCCGCAGAAGAAGCACCGGCUAACUCCGUGCCAGCAGCCGCGGUAAUACGGAGGGUGCAAGCGUUAAUCGGAAUUACUGGGCGUAAAGCGCACGCAGGCGGUUUGUUAAGUCAGAUGUGAAAUCCCCGGGCUCAACCUGGGAACUGCAUCUGAUACUGGCAAGCUUGAGUCUCGUAGAGGGGGGUAGAAUUCCAGGUGUAGCGGUGAAAUGCGUAGAGAUCUGGAGGAAUACCGGUGGCGAAGGCGGCCCCCUGGACGAAGACUGACGCUCAGGUGCGAAAGCGUGGGGAGCAAACAGGAUUAGAUACCCUGGUAGUCCACGCCGUAAACGAUGUCGACUUGGAGGUUGUGCCCUUGAGGCGUGGCUUCCGGAGCUAACGCGUUAAGUCGACCGCCUGGGGAGUACGGCCGCAAGGUUAAAACUCAAAUGAAUUGACGGGGGCCCGCACAAGCGGUGGAGCAUGUGGUUUAAUUCGAUGCAACGCGAAGAACCUUACCUGGUCUUGACAUCCACAGAACUUUCCAGAGAUGGAUUGGUGCCUUCGGGAACUGUGAGACAGGUGCUGCAUGGCUGUCGUCAGCUCGUGUUGUGAAAUGUUGGGUUAAGUCCCGCAACGAGCGCAACCCUUAUCCUUUGUUGCCAGCGGUCCGGCCGGGAACUCAAAGGAGACUGCCAGUGAUAAACUGGAGGAAGGUGGGGAUGACGUCAAGUCAUCA
This 1197-nucleotide ribosomal RNA is filed under the name Escherichia coli P0304816.10. RNAcentral's name for it is "bacterial SSU rRNA". It matches the Rfam family "Bacterial small subunit ribosomal RNA", at positions 8 to 1195 of the family's 1533-position model. The record is from RNAcentral. Lineage: Bacteria; Pseudomonadati; Pseudomonadota; Gammaproteobacteria; Enterobacterales; Enterobacteriaceae.